CCAAUAGCGUAUAUUAAAGUUGUUGCAGUUAAAAAGCUCGUAGUUGAGUUUCGGGGUCAGUAGGUUGGUCAUGCCUCCGGUAUGUACUGGUCUCACUGAUUCCUCCUUCCUGAUGAGCCGUAAUGCCAUUAAUUUGGUGUUGCGGGGAAUCUGGACUGUUACUUUGAAAAAAUUAGAGUGUUUAAAGCAAGCUAACGCUUGAAUACAUUAGCAUGGAAUAAUGGAAUAGGACGUUCGAUCCUAUUUUGUUGGUUUCUAGGAUUGACGUAAUGAUUAAUAGGGAUAGUUGGGGGCAUUAGUAUUCAAUUGUCAGAGGUGAAAUUCUUGGAUUUAUUGAAGACUAACUACUGCGAAAGCAUUUGCCAAGGAUGUUUUCAUUAAUCAAGAACGAAAGUUAGGGGAUCGAAGACGAUCAGAUACCGUCGUAGUCUUAACCAUAAACUAUGCCGACUAGGGAUCGGACGAUGUUAAUUUUUUAAUGACUCAUUCGGCGCCUUACG
This 500-nucleotide ribosomal RNA is filed under the name uncultured Glomeromycotina. RNAcentral's name for it is "partial small subunit ribosomal RNA". It matches the Rfam family "Eukaryotic small subunit ribosomal RNA", at positions 591 to 1092 of the family's 1831-position model. Lineage: Eukaryota; Fungi; Glomeromycota. The record is from RNAcentral.